ACAUGGAAAAGCUAAGGUUAGGGACAUGUGCUUAGGAUACCAGCAUGGGGGGAAUCCAAGACAUGCGGACUGUGCGCCCCGACUAUCUCCUCGGGUGAGCUAGGCCAAAAGAGCCUGCUGGAAAAAUCAAGGUGGCCUCUGAGGAACUGUGCUGGAUUGGCGCUCUGGCCUACCCAUGCGCACACGCAGAUAACUGAGCAUUUAUGUUAAAUAGUGACGUCUGAAAGACUUGUAACUCUGGCAAGAAAAGAUCUUCUCGACUAAACUGAACUGAGUGCCACUCAUCUUUUGGGUACUGUUUAAAAUCUAAUCCAAGAAGCCAAUGCCUGAGAAGUCAUCGUUAGGACUUGAAUCUCACAUUUGUUAGAGAGGUGAACUCUAGGUCAGUGGGACAACCUCAUCACUCCUGCCUGAGCAGAACAUUAUCCGUCAAGUUCAGCUCCCAUCUGCACAUUCGGUCCGUUACUAAAGAAGGCCUCUCGGCCUGUCUGUGACCACAUAAGAAUAGAAUGUUCGUGCCCACCAGGUGCCAGCGGAAUCCCUGGCAGUUCUGGCCAUUUGGCUUUUCCGGGGCAGAGUGGAGUCCUGGGCUGGGGGGAUGGGACAGAGCAUCAACCCCCCCCCCCCCGCCCCCCGAAACAGCUUCUUGUGGUGGCGGAUAUGGCCAGUCUCCGAAAAAAGACAGAAUGUUCCCUUUUGAGAGAAGAAACCUCUGUUGUGACCACUAAGUAGCCUGUGGCAAGACUCAGAUUCAAACCCUGAUUCUCCAAACAGAGUCUGCGGGGGCUCAAAGUCCAGGACUUUGUUUCUGUCUUCCCUGGCUUGCUUUUCACGGGACCAUUCGCUCUUCUCUGAGCCCUGAGACGCUUCCGGUGUUAUGCCUAAGGGGAAGCUGUGUGUCACAAACCACCAACGGUUCAGGCUAAGCCAGCUGGGCUCUUCCUGUAUCUGGGCAGACCAUUGAGACUUCUUAAGGAAUUCACAGUUUCCUUGGCUUCAAGAAACUUCAGCUGAGCACUGGGUCUUCAUUGAAGGCAGUUUGGAAAAACCAAAGAAACAUCAGAAGUCUAAGAUGAUUAUAGUGAAGUUGUCAUAGCUAAAACCCAAGGGGAGAGCGGGGGCAUGGCCGAAUGGAGCUCCCCCCCCCCCGAAAAAUUUCCAGGACUCACGAGAUGUCAAGUCAUCUCUAAAACUUUUCAAAAACCCAGAAAGUCAUUUCAAACAGUCUGACUUGGUGGCCACGCAGAGGGGAAGAGCCAACUUUCCAUAGAGACAGCAGGCUUGCCCCCCCACCCCAGGCUUGUGCAAAAGCGGCGGCAAUGUCGUGGCCCGGACUUCAGUGACAGCUCCCUGAGCCAGGGGAAGUCCACUUGGCUGAGUGGGUAAGCUGCUGCCCAGGGCGCAUAUCAUGAAGCCCGCUUCCAGGGGAUUUCCCUCUGCAAUGGAAUCGGCAGAGUUUCGUCUUUUCUGAAAGAUUUCCCACAGGAAUACAUUUAUUUGACUCUGUGGAAAAAUCUCAAAUGUGGAUUUCUCAUUUAGUCACACGUUUCUUCAAAUAAAGAAAAUCAACACAGUUAUCCUAAGUAGUAAGAACGCAUACUCUAUGAAUGGUCUAAUGCUUACUUCAUGCUAGGCCCUCUUUGCUUUAUGGCUAAACUGCCGAGUAAAACACAUGAUGUGGCCCCUGCCUCAUCUAAACGAGGUUCUAAUUCUAGCUGUCAGUGUUUGUACUGAAAAUAAACCUGAUUUCUUUAAGGAAAUGUUAUAAUAUGCCAUCCCAAA
Peromyscus maniculatus bairdii (prairie deer mouse) is the source of this 1782-nucleotide non-coding RNA. The record is from RefSeq and is a predicted model, not a curated record. NCBI's taxonomy places the organism in Eukaryota, Metazoa, Chordata, Mammalia, Rodentia, Cricetidae.